This 405-nucleotide ribosomal RNA is filed under the name uncultured bacterium. RNAcentral's name for it is "partial 16S ribosomal RNA". It matches the Rfam family "Bacterial small subunit ribosomal RNA", at positions 30 to 526 of the family's 1533-position model. The record is from RNAcentral.
AUUGAACGCUAGCGGGAUGCUUUACACAUGCAAGUCGAACGAGUGGCGGACGGGUGAGUAAUAUAUCGGAACGUGCCCAGUAGCGGGGGAUAACUACUCGAAAGAGUGUCUAAUACCGCAUCCUAUGUGAUCCGCCGAUAUGGGAUUAGCUAGUUGGUGGGGUAAAGGCUCACCAAGGCCACGAUCCGUAGCUGGUUUGAGAGGACGACCAGCCACACUGGGACUGAGACACGGCCCAGACUCCUACGGGAGGCAGCAGUGGGGAAUUUUGGACAAUGGGCGAAACCCUGAUCCAGCCAUCCCGCGUGUAUGAGAAGGCCUUCGGGUUGUAAAGUACUUUUGGCAGAGAAGCGGUACCUGCAGAAUAAGCACCGGCUAACUACGUGCCAGCCGCCGCGGUAAUUC